GAUGAACGCUGGCGGCGUGCCUAAUACAUGCAAGUCGAGCGAACAGACGAGGAGCUUGCUCCUCUGACGUUAGCGGCGGACGGGUGAGUAACACGUGGAUAACCUACCUAUAAGACUGGGAUAACUUCGGGAAACCGGAGCUAAUACCGGAUAAUAUAUUGAACCGCAUGGUUCAAUAGUGAAAGACGGUUUUGCUGUCACUUAUAGAUGGAUCCGCGCCGCAUUAGCUAGUUGGUAAGGUAACGGCUUACCAAGGCAACGAUGCGUAGCCGACCUGAGAGGGUGAUCGGCCACACUGGAACUGAGACACGGUCCAGACUCCUACGGGAGGCAGCAGUAGGGAAUCUUCCGCAAUGGGCGAAAGCCUGACGGAGCAACGCCGCGUGAGUGAUGAAGGUCUUCGGAUCGUAAAACUCUGUUAUUAGGGAAGAACAAAUGUGUAAGUAACUAUGCACGUCUUGACGGUACCUAAUCAGAAGGCAACGGCUAACUACGUG
Molecule: ribosomal RNA, 497 nt
Filed under: uncultured bacterium
Lineage: Bacteria
Description: partial 16S ribosomal RNA
Rfam family: Bacterial small subunit ribosomal RNA
Source: RNAcentral